This 433-nucleotide ribosomal RNA is filed under the name uncultured bacterium. RNAcentral's name for it is "partial 16S ribosomal RNA". It matches the Rfam family "Bacterial small subunit ribosomal RNA", at positions 29 to 507 of the family's 1533-position model. The record is from RNAcentral.
AACGAACGCUGGCGGCAUGCCUAACACAUGCAAGUCGAACGAGACCUUCGGGUCUAGUGGCGCACGGGUGCGUAACGCGUGGGAACCUGCCCUUAGGUUCGGAAUAACUCCCCGAAUGGGGUGCUAAUACCGGAUAAUGUCUUCGGACCAAAGAUUUAUCGCCUUUGGAUGGGCCCGCGUUGGAUUAGCUAGUUGGUAGGGUAAAAGCCUACCAAGGCGACGAUCCAUAGCUGGUCUGAGAGGAUGAUCAGCCACACUGGGACUGAGACACGGCCCAGACUCCUACGGGAGGCAGCAGUGGGGAAUAUUGGACAGUGGGCGAAAGCCUGAUCCAGCAAUGCCGCGUGAGUGAUGAAGGCAUUAGGGUUGUAAAGCUCUUUUACCCGGGAUGAUAAUGACAGUACCGGGAGAAUAAGCUCCGGCUAACUCCGUG